GACGAACGCUGGCGGCGUGCUUAACACAUGCAAGUCGAACGGAAAGGCCCUGCUUGCAGGGUACUCGAGUGGCGAACGGGUGAGUAACACGUGGGUGAUCUGCCCUGCACUUCGGGAUAAGCCUGGGAAACUGGGUCUAAUACCGGAUAGGAGCCAUUUUUAGUGUGAUGGUUGGAAAGUUUUUUCGGUGUAGGAUGAGCUCGCGGCCUAUCAGCUUGUUGGUGGGGUAAUGGCCUACCAAGGCGGCGACGGGUAGCCGGCCUGAGAGGGUGGACGGCCACAUUGGGACUGAGAUACGGCCCAGACUCCUACGGGAGGCAGCAGUGGGGAAUAUUGCACAAUGGGCGCAAGCCUGAUGCAGCGACGCCGCGUGGGGGAUGACGGCCUUCGGGUUGUAAACUCCUUUCGCUAGGGACGAAGCUUUUUGUGACGGUA
Molecule: ribosomal RNA, 435 nt
Filed under: uncultured bacterium
Lineage: Bacteria
Description: bacterial SSU rRNA
Rfam family: Bacterial small subunit ribosomal RNA
Source: RNAcentral